Long non-coding RNA from Oncorhynchus keta (chum salmon), 2166 nucleotides. RefSeq lists it as uncharacterized. NCBI's taxonomy places the organism in Eukaryota, Metazoa, Chordata, Actinopteri, Salmoniformes, Salmonidae. The record is from RefSeq and is a predicted model, not a curated record. The transcript has 6 exons.
UGCUGGUCUAGGUUCAGUAUGGAAGAAGAGAAGUGGUGGUCUCGGUUCAGUAUGGAAGAAGAGAGGUGGUGGUCUCGGUUCAGUAUGGAAGAAGAGAGGUGCUGGUCUAGGUUCAGUAUGGUAGAUCAGAGAGGUGGUGGUCUCGGUUCAGUAUGGUAGAAGAGAGGUGGUGGUCUCGGUUCAGUAUGGAAGAAGAGAGGUGGUGGUCUCGGUUCAGUAUGGUAGAUCAGAGAGGUGGUGGUCUAGGUUCAGUAUGGUAGAUCAGAGAGGUGGUGGUCUCGGUUCAGUAUGGUAGAAGAGAGGUGGUGGUCUCGGUUCAGUAUGGAAGAAGAGAGGUGGUGGUCUCGGUUCAGUAUGGUAGAUCAGAGAGGUGCUGGUCUAGGUUCAGUAUGGUAGAUCAGAGAGGUGGUGGUCUCGGUUCAGUAUGGAAGAAGAGAGGUGGUGGUCUCGGUUCAGUAUGGAAGAAGAGAGGUGCUGGUCUAGGUUCAGUAUGGUAGAUCAGAGAGGUGGUGGUCUCGGUUCAGUAUGGUAGAAGAGAGGUGCUGGUCUAGGUUCAGUAUGGUAGAAGAGAGGUGCUGGUCUAGGUUCAGUAUGGUAGAUCAGAGAGGUGGUGGUCUAGGUUCAGUAUGGUAGAAGAGAGGUGGUGGUCUCGGUUCAGUAUGGAAGAAGAGAGGUGGUGGUCUCGGUUCAGUAUGGAAGAAGAGAGGUGGUGGUCUCGGUUCAGUAUGGAAGAAGAGAGGUGCUGGUCUAGGUUCAGUAUGGUAGAUCAGAGAGGUGGUGGUCUCGGUUCAGUAUGGUAGAAGAGAGGUGCUGGUCUAGGUUCAGUAUGGUAGAAGAGAGGUGCUGGUCUAGGUUCAGUAUGGUAGAUCAGAGAGGUGGUGGUCUAGGUUCAGUAUGGUAGAAGAGAGGUGCUGGUCUAGGUUCAGUAUGGUAGAUCAGAGAGGUGGUGGUCUCGGUUCAGUAUGGUAGAUCAGAGAGGUGCUGGUCUAGGUUCAGUAUGGUAGAUCAGAGAGGUGGUGGUCUCGGUUCAGUAUGGUAGAUCAGAGAGGUGGUGGUCUCGGUUCAGUAUGGUAGAAGAGAGGUGGUGGUCUCGGUUCAGUAUGGAAGAAGAGAGGUGCUGGUCUAGAGAUUAAUUACAAUUAAAGUUGUCCGUGAUGUGAUUUGAAUACCCAACCUUUGGGUUGCUCGACGUUUUGGGUUGCUAGACGUUUUGGGUUGCUCGACAUUUUGGGUUGCUAGACGUUUUGGGUUGCUCGACAUUUUGGGUUGCUCGACGUUUUGGGUUGCUCGACGUUUUGGGUUGCUAGACGUUUUGGGUUGCUAGACGUUCACGUUAUGCUGCUGCCCAUCUUCAUCGACCAACCUCAGUCCUUUUAGUUUUUUGGGGGCUUAAGUAACCUUUUCUAUCUUAUGAAACCAUAAGAAACAUAACAUAUCACCAGCCCGGCCUCAAAAACUACAUGUCCCUGCUGUAUCCCUGCAUGCCAGCCCGGCCUCCAAAACGAAACGUCCCUGCUGCUUCCCUACAUGCCAGCUAAAAAACAUCUAGCAACCCAAAACGUCUAGCAACCCAAAAUUGUCAUUAUGGGGCAUUGUCACUAUGGGGUAUUGUCAUUAUGGGGUAUUGUCAUUAUGGGGUAUUGUCACUAUGGGGUAUUGUCAUUAUGGGGUAUUGUCAUUAUGGGGUAUUGUCACUAUGGGGUAUUGUCACUAUGGGGUAUUGUCACUAUGGGGUAUUGUCAUUAUGGGGUAUUGUCAUUAUGGGGUAUUGUCACUAUGGGGUAUUGUCACUAUGGGGUAUUGUCACUAUGGGGUAUUGUCACUAUGGGGUAUUGUCAUUAUGGGGCAUUGUCAUUAUGGGGUAUUGUCAUUAUGGGGCAUUGUCAUUAUGGGGUAUUGUCACUAUGGGGUAUUGUCACUAUGGGGUAUUGUCACUAUGGGGCAUUGUCAUUAUGGGGUAUUGUCAUUGUGGGGCAUUGUCAUUAUGGGGCAUUGUCAUUAUGGGGUAUUGUCAUUAUGGGGUAUUGUCACUAUGGGGUAUUGUCAUUAUGGGGUAUUGUCACUAUGGGGUAUUGUCACUAUGAGGUAUUGUCACUAUGGGGUAUUGUCACUAUGGGGUAUUGUCAUUAUGGGGUAUUGUCAUUAUGGGGUAUUGUCACUAUGGGG